RNAcentral lists this ribosomal RNA (305 nucleotides) under uncultured bacterium. RNAcentral's name for it is "bacterial SSU rRNA". It matches the Rfam family "Bacterial small subunit ribosomal RNA", at positions 334 to 653 of the family's 1533-position model. The record is from RNAcentral.
GUAUCCUACGGGACGCAGCAGUGGGGAAUAUUGCACAAUGGGCGCAAGCCUGAACCAGCAACGCCGCGUGAAGGAAGAAGGCCCUCGGGUUGUAAACUUCUUUUAUCAAGGACGAAACAAAUGACGGUACUUGAUGAAUAAGCCACGGCUAACUACGUGCCAGCAGCCGCGGUAAUACGUAGGUGGCAAGCGUUAUCCGGAUUUACUGGGUGUAAAGGGCGUGUAGGCGGGACUGCAAGUCAGAUGUGAAAACCAUGGGCUCAAACCAUGGCCUGCAUUUGAAACUGUAGUUCUUGAGGGGUGGG